This 251-nucleotide unclassified non-coding RNA is filed under the name Rhizophydium sp. Its description in RNAcentral is "partial contains 5.8S ribosomal RNA, internal transcribed spacer 2, and large subunit ribosomal RNA". RNAcentral also lists the same sequence under 1 other name. Lineage: Eukaryota; Fungi; Chytridiomycota; Chytridiomycetes; Rhizophydiales; Rhizophydiaceae. The record is from RNAcentral.
AACGCAUCUUGCGCCCUUUGGUAUUCCGAAGAGCAUGCCUGUUUGAGUGUCAUGAAAACAUCAUCCCGUCGGGUUUCCGACGACGAUGGACUUGGGUGUUGCCGUCUGGCUCGCCUUAAAGGUGUUAGUGGUUCUAAGAUUGAAUCUGGCGUAAUAAGUUUCGUCGGUGGAUGUCGAAGGCUGCUCCUAACCCGUCUUUGGACACUUUUUGCUCUGACCUCAAAUCAGGUAGGACUACCCGCUGAACUUAA